UUGGGUGUGCGACCUGAGCAGGGACGUGACCAUCUUGCACAUAUACAUUCUGAAGUGUGCGACCUGGGCUUGGGAAUGGGAAAGGAGCUCAACUGAGCCGCACAAGAACAUGCAAGAUAAAGUGCUAGAUGGAUGUGUGGCUGAGAAAGGAGUUGACCAUCUAGUCUUAAGCGCCUUUUGGUGCGAGAUGGGUGUGCGGGUCAGCCAUGGACGUGGCCAUCUCACACACCAGCCACCAGACCCAUCUGAGCCAGGUCAGUACCCAGUUUGUUCUGGGCUGACCGGGUCCAUUACACUUAGUAUAAAUACCUUUUUGGGAGAAAACCCUAAGGAUCUUACCUUUUACCUUUCAUUCUCUCUUAGUUUUCUUUUCCCCUUUUGUUAAAAACGAGUUUGAUCAAGAGAUAUCUAAGGGAUUUAAUCAUCUUAAAGCUGUUUCGUAUCAUCUCAUCUUCUUAUCUUUGCU
Molecule: long non-coding RNA, 466 nt
Filed under: Eutrema salsugineum
Lineage: Eukaryota; Viridiplantae; Streptophyta; Magnoliopsida; Brassicales; Brassicaceae
Description: long non-coding RNA (ESAL_LNC000977)
Source: RNAcentral